UCAACAUUCAAACCUUUCCCAAAAUAAAAAAAGGAAGAAAAUCAUUUCCUUUAAACUGACAACAUCAAAGCCUUAAAUUUGAAGAUUUCCAAACAGUAACUAUAAAAAGAAAGAGAAAUUUUAGAGAAAAGGACACCAACAUCAGUCAUAUAUAUCAACAACUAAAAAAAAUCAUAGAAGCGUAAAUAGAAAAGCGAAACCGCAAACCAACGAAUUGGAUCGAACUACCGUCGUGCGUAUAACCGCUUUCUCCAGAAUCGUCUGACGACUGCCGCAGACCGUCGACGACACCAGCAGAUUUUCCACACCACAUUUGCCUUUGUCGCUGUUGGAAUUCGCCUCCAAUUGUCGUUGUCGAGAGAAUGAACUAUAUUAAGGGGAGAAGAUCAUUGUUGUUGUUGAUUUGUUCGGUGGAUUACAUAUUGGUUACUUUCUUGUUCUUCGGUUUCUUAUCCUAAAACAUGUUCUUCUAUGAGAAGAAAAUAAAUGGGUAUUACUAA
Long non-coding RNA from Lathyrus oleraceus (garden pea), 500 nucleotides. RefSeq lists it as uncharacterized. The record is from RefSeq and is a predicted model, not a curated record. NCBI's taxonomy places the organism in Eukaryota, Viridiplantae, Streptophyta, Magnoliopsida, Fabales, Fabaceae. The transcript has 2 exons.